UUAAUUAUGAUCACAAGGGUCUCUAUUUAUAGCCAUAUGAUUGCUAAAUGCACACUUGAAAUCAAAGUUCCAAAAAUAGCAAUGUAUGUUGCAUUGAUGCAUUGGCGUGGGAUAGACCCAUGUAAUCAUCUUUUCAGGUCCACAAAUGAGUAGAAACAUUACUGAAGUCACAUUGGUAAUCCAUGCAAUUGUGUAUGAAAGUUUUAAGUUUAAUUGUGCCAAAUUGUCAUCCAAGUUCAAGCCAUGCGCAAG
This 252-nucleotide long non-coding RNA is filed under the name Lathyrus oleraceus (garden pea). RNAcentral describes it as "Pisum sativum (pea) long non-coding RNA (PSAT_LNC004450)". The record is from RNAcentral. Lineage: Eukaryota; Viridiplantae; Streptophyta; Magnoliopsida; Fabales; Fabaceae.